CUUGCUUUCGGAGGGCAGUUGAGCUCCAGGCCCAGGUUUUUUCCCCUCUUCCACAGGGCCAUACGGACAAAAAGGAGGUCAUGUGCCUACCUGGAUGAGCUCGGGGGAGGCCUGCACCGUGGCCUUCCUAACUCAGAGACCCAGAGUGACCAUGGAGGAUGGUCUGAACAUAAAAGCUCCUGACUGACAGUGGUCACGGAGGCCGUCACAUCCUGAGCCUGCAGCGUCCCUGACAAAGGUUCUGGUCAAGUUGACCCGAAGGAAGAACUCGACACACCUACAAAAUAACUUCACAAUGCCCCUAGAUUGGUGUUUAAUUGAAUACCUGGGCGAUACAGGUGAGCCAAGACAACGUAAAACUUAACCACAGCUGGCCUCCCGAUAACUGUGUAGCUACUACCACAAUAAAGACACACAACAGUCCCAUCAUUCCAGAGAAUUCUGGAGAAGAGGCAUCCCUGCCUCUUCUUGGGGUCAGUCUUCCCUGCCGCCACCCACCCUCCCAACACUGUCAACUCCUGAUCUGUUUUCUGUCUCUACAGGUGUGGCUGUUCCAGGAUAUCAUUCAAACGCAAUCACACAAUGUGUGACCUUUAAAUCUGGCUUCAUUUGCUCAUGCGUAUGAAGCUUACGAGAUUCACCUAAGUUGUUUCUUUUUUUAUGGUUGAGAAUAUCCCCUUGUGUGGCAGUUCUGUUCAUGGAGGAGGGCGGGGACGGAAUCUGGAGCCGGAUAUGAGUGUCCUGUCAGUGCAGCACCAACGUGGACCCACUGCUGAUCUGCUGAGUCCUCCUCUCCCGGUCAACACAGAUCCAUUCCGCAGUUUCCAGGCGCCCCCAUCAGUGCUCAGCACUGGGGAUACAGGAACCAGCAAGACUGGCCUGGCCCUUAUUGUCAUGGAGCAGGUAUUCUGUUGGGGAAAUUGGUUCAGUCAAGUAACAGGGCAAAGAACUGAAAAAUCAUAAAUUGUGACCUGCCCAAAGAAGAAAACAAAUAAGAGGUGGAGGUUCAGAAUAUUCUAGAUAGGUGGCAAGAAGUCCUCUCUGGGACUUUUGAAAUGAGGCAGCCAGAGGAUGGGUUAGGGGAAGUCACCUGUGGAAAGAACAACACGUGCAGAGGCCCCACUUACACGUAUUGGGCCGCGUGAUGGGCUGUGGCGUGAUGGGCGUUACAGAGACGCAGGGGAGAGAGGGACCACACAGGGUCGGAGGUUGUGCAGGGUCACUAGCAGUUCACGGGUCGUGAUAAGGAGUUCGGGUGUCCUUCAGUGAAGGAGGAAGCCUUGCAAGGGUUCAGAACCCAGGGGUCACAUAAUCUGACGUAAUUUUUAAAAGGAUCAGUUUUGCUGCUUUGUGAUAGUGUUUGCAGUUGUGAGAGUCCAGAUGAGAAAGUGAUAAUGGAGAUAAGGAGACAGAGCUGCGGUGUUAGAGGCACAGACAGGCCCCAUUAAUGGGUUGAUUGGAGGGGCGGAGUAGACUAAUUUGCAGAUUUCUGGCUUGAACGAUGUGGUAAAAGGUUUUGACAUUUAAUUAAAUGCGAAAGGUCGGUUCCAUGACAGUCCCUGGAGCCCAAGAAAGCUGAGCCCCUAUUUCAGGAUUCAAAUGUAUUCAGUAACCACUAAUAUUUAAAGUUAUGGGGAUUGAUUAGAUUGACUCUGAAGAUGUGGAGGAAAAGCAGCACUUUCUUCAGGGAAAAAAGAAGCAGGAUCCCAAGCAGCCCGAGGCCAGAGAGGAGCAAGGAGGAGGCGGGACAGGAGCCCAGGAGCCCCUCGCAGGAACAAGAGUGGUGUUGGUGGGUUGAAUUCUGUGGAAGGAGCGAAGAAAAUUGGGAAAAGUAACUGGGCACCAGCUUUGGCAACAUGCAAAGAGUUGCUGGCCUUGAUAAGCUUUGAUGGAAGGGCAGUGGGUGGCAUUUCAGAGAGAAUGACAGGUAGGGAAGUGGGGAUGUUGUGUCUGCAGGCACCUUGACAGGAGCCACGGAUGUUCUCUGAGGGCAGAAGGAGCUCGGAGAAAGAAGACAGGGUUUGUCGAGAUGGCAGAUACCUAAGGAUAAUUACCUGUGGAAAGAAUAUUCCUUGCAGACAGAAAUGAUGGUGCAGGAGGAGGCAGAGGGGACCUGGAACGUGGGCCUUCUGUCCACUGGGACAGGAGGAAGGAUGGAGAAAGUAGAGGCAGGUGCAUUUGGUGCAGCCCUGGUAAGAGGAGCUAAG
Artibeus jamaicensis (Jamaican fruit-eating bat) is the source of this 2207-nucleotide long non-coding RNA. RefSeq lists it as uncharacterized. The record is from RefSeq and is a predicted model, not a curated record. Lineage: Eukaryota; Metazoa; Chordata; Mammalia; Chiroptera; Phyllostomidae. The transcript is spliced from 3 exons.